UUUCGUUUCGUCCUCUGUGCAUCGUACGUAAGCGAACAGCUGUUAUGUUGUUGCUAAGCCGGAAACAAAGCAUGUGAAUAUUUUUUUUUUGGCACGGCGUCGUUUGGAAAGUGCACUUCCUUGUUCUGACCUUGCCUUUUAUGGGCUGGAGCGAUACGAUACGUGAUAUGCUACGGCGAAGUUGUCGAAGAUGCGACGGUGCUACGCUGUUAGAACAAUUCAUCGGAGCAUUCAAGUGUUACCUAUUAUAAGCUGCCAAAAGACCAAGCAGUGCGAAGCUCUUGGCUGACAGUGAUGCCUGCUAAUUUCCACUGCAAGGAUUUCGUCCACAAAUGUUAUCAUAGGUUACGAGCGACUCCAGAGGCACUUUGGAAUCUCGGCAUGAAAUCGUCUGAUGAAAAUCUCAGGUGCCCGACGCACAACAUUUUGAACGUGCCACGGAGGAUCAAGGCAAAAAACGAGAGCGAAAAAGGUGCACGCUGAAGGCGGAAAUUAAGCAUGAUCUGGCUUGCAUCUGGUGCAUGAAGAAAUUGCUGACACGUUAGUUGCAGUCUACCUCCACCAACAGGGUGGAAAACAAAGGUCGCCAUUCCGAUUAGCUGCUAUCUCCCAGUUCAAGCACUUUUGCUGUCUGGACACUGGUUCCUGUGGAUGGGGUGUUACAAGCUUCACUGUCUGAUAUAGAAGUGAUGAGCAUCCAUAAGGACACAUGCCAGAAAGGGAGUCUCUUUGGGAUGACAAACCCUCAUCACCUCAUGAGGAUACAAUGGUUGACGAAUUGUUCUCAAGUACAUCGAAACUUCAACAAAUAAUUCAUGAAGAAGCCAGUCAGUGCUAGCCCCAGGAAUUGAACGUGGACCGUCCUGCUACCAGUCAGAGAUGUUACAUUUCAGGCGCUCAUUGACUUUUGGUGAAUUACUUGUUGACUUUGUCCCAAGGUGGAGCUCGCCACAGCUCAUUUGCCUAUCUGUUAAUGUUGUGGCGUGUGUUGCGUUUUUCUCUUUGUGUGUUCCAGACUCAGAACGGUUAAUUUGGAUCAGGUCAGGUACGUUUCAUUUAGACAUGGCAAACAUAAAGUGGUGUUUCUCAACACAACUUAGCAGUGGCCUUCAUGCAUUACUGCUAUGGCCAUUAAGCGUGAAUGGAAACCUCCACAUUAUGCAUGAUGUAAAACCCCAAGACUAGGGAACACGAAGGGACAGACACAAACACGUCCCUUUGUGUUCCCCAGUCUCGGGGGUUUUACAUAUGCAUCAUCUUCACCAGCUCGCUUGCUUCCUAGCCAUUUUUUCUGCACAUUAUGUUCACUCUACUUUUAUCAUGUGCUAUAUAAUCUUGUUCAAGUUCUGUCAAACGACGUGUAAUGCUAUAAAAAAAAUUCACUACACUGUUUAUGUGGGUUGAAUGGUAGCGCAUGAAUGCAGGAAGGAAACUGUCAUGUUAUGGCAAGUGUUUACGUAUUGUACAUUUAACUACGAAUUUUAUAGGUUAGCUUUUGCCGGCGUAUCAUGUCAAGCCAUGUUAUAUCAAUUUGGAACGUGUUCUUAGUAGCCAGAGCAGCUGAUACACAGUGAGGACAUAGCCCGUGUGUGUUUGUCUUUUCCACCGCAGCCCUUGGGUUUUCUCCCUGAUGGCUACAAAUGUCAGGGAAAGGUUUCAGAACCGGUAGUUCCCGCCAAGUGUGAAUUGCUUUUCAGGGGAUCAUCACGCUGGCAGAUAAAACAUAUGGUUUAAAUUAUUUGCAGGACAGGAAUUGCGUAGCUUCACACAAAUACUACUACAACGACGUAAGAGUGGUUUCAAAUCUAGCUUUUUUGUGUUCCUGACAUUAUCGCACGAGAUGUAGUAUCCACUAUGAUCCUUUAUAUGGGGGGUAUGUACAGUGCAGUCAACAGAUGCUAUUUACAAAUCUGUGUUUUCUACUGUGUUGAAAUGGGGUAGUUUGUAUCUGAGAGCCAUAGUGAAACACAGGCAGCCAAGGACAGACCUUUGAUGCCCUCGAGAAACUUGGCAACACAAUGCAGGGACUCUGGAUGCUGCCUAAAUUUCCAGAACACACAGCUCAAGGCAGCGGUUAAAUAAUAAGUGGUUAGAGAAAUCCAAGACAGUUGCAUGUGUAAGCAGUCCGCUGUUGGAUUUGCUUCUGUCCGAGAUACGUUAUCUGAAAGGGAACGCACGGGCACACUCAGAAUGAUACCAGGGCUGCCUGUGAAAUAGAAUGAGGAGAGGGGAAGAUAUAUAACCCUUUUUUCUUGUCUGUUAUUCUAUUGGUUAAAUUGUCAUUUGCUUAGCAGCAUAUAUGUGUAUAUUCCAGAGUCUGCUAAUAAAUAUAUCAGUUUA
Long non-coding RNA from Ornithodoros turicata, 2340 nucleotides. RefSeq lists it as uncharacterized. The transcript has 4 exons. NCBI's taxonomy places the organism in Eukaryota, Metazoa, Arthropoda, Arachnida, Ixodida, Argasidae. The record is from RefSeq and is a predicted model, not a curated record.